GACGAACGCUGGCGGCGUGCUUAACACAUGCAAGUCGAACGGAAAGGCCCUGCUUUUGUGUGGUGCUCGAGUGGCGAACGCGUGAGUAACACGUGAGUAACCUGCCCUUGACUGUGGGAUAACUUCAGGAAACUCGGGCUAAUACCGGAUAGGAUCUCCUGCUGCAUGGUGGGGGUUGGAAAGUUUCGGCGGUUUGGGCUGGACUCGCGGCUUAUCAGCUUGUUGGUGGGGUAGUGGCUUACCAGGGCUUUGACGGAUAGCCGGCCUGGGAGGGUGACCGGCGACAUUGGGACUGAGGUAGGGCCCAGAAUGCUACGGGAGGCGGCAGUGGGGAAUCUUGCACAACGGGGGGAAGCGAGAUGCAGAAACGUCCGGUGCGGGAUGACGUCCUUCGGGUUGUAAACCGAUUUCGCCGGUGACGAAGCGAGAGUGACGGUAAUGGGUAAAAAAGCACCGGCUAACUACGUG
This 468-nucleotide ribosomal RNA is filed under the name uncultured bacterium. Its description in RNAcentral is "partial 16S ribosomal RNA". It matches the Rfam family "Bacterial small subunit ribosomal RNA", at positions 28 to 507 of the family's 1533-position model. The record is from RNAcentral.